GUGCAGCUUCUGAAACAUGGCCCUACCAUGAUGUCCUUUCAUGACGCUGCCUUCGCACACACAUUAGCGUAAAGGAACUCGGUACUUGGGGGAAAACAAUGAAAUGAAUGAAUCAUCUCUCCCUUCUCUUCCAACCAACCAACAAAUGAAUGGACCACCAUCAACAAAAGUGGCUCCUCUAAAGGAAAAAUUGACAUUUAAAACAAUUUGCGGCCAGGUGCUGUGGCUCACACCUGUAAUCCUAGCACUUUGGGAGGCCAAGGCGGCGGAUCAGGAGGUCAACAGAUCGAGACCAUCCUGGCCAACAUGGUGAAACCCCAUCUCUACUAAAAAUAUGAAGAUUAGUUGGGUGUGGUGGCGUGUGCCUGUAAUCCCAGCGACUCAGGAGGCUGAGGCAGGAGAACCACUUGAACCCGGGAGGCGGAGGUUGCAGUGAGCCAAGAUCAUACCACUGCACUCCAGCCUGGUGACAGAGCGAGACUCAAAACAACAGCAACAACAACAACAGCAACAAAAACAAUUUGCUCUGUGUUUGGAGUCACCUUCAACUUUAAAUAAAUGUUAAAGUACUGGCAUAAAUAUUAGACCACAGAGUUAGUUUUCCAAGAGAUACCACUUGUUUCCAUUUCCUAUGAAUCGAAGUUACUUCAUUUUUUCUUCUUUCUGUUUGGUAGAAGUUUGACCUCAGUCAAUUCAAGUGGUACCUAAUUUUGGGUAAUCCUCAUUCUUGAGGUUACCCAUUAAUCUUGGGGGAGUUGAUGAGUGUGGUGCUUGUUUAUUAUCUGUUCAGGCUGCAGGCUGGCCUGUGUCACUAGACCACGUGGGUUACAGCCGUGUUAAAGUUUAGGAUAUUCUCAGGUAUGACUCCACGUCUGAUACUUCUUUGAUCCUCUGUAAGACUUGGGGAAAUUUGAAUACUUUUUUACUGUUCUCUAGGUCAAGGGAAACUCUGCAGGCUGUCUCUGGCCAUGGUGCCAUAUCUUUUCUACCCAUCCUUAGCACUACAGAACUUUGCCUCUUUGCUGGGAUGGGGGUUGUUGAGAACAGGGAGAUGACUUUGGGCUCUUGUGCUUUUUUCUAAGCUCUCUUCUCUUGAAUAUUUAAAUAUUUAACGUGUUGUCACUUUCCCUUCCUCACCCUUAUGACAGAAAGCUUACAGUUGAGGAAAGGAGGAUGGUAAAGGUAUUAAAUAGCACAUCCUUUGAAAUCAUUUUUAUGUUAUACGGAGACUUAUUUUGGCUCCCUCAAUCAGUUUACCCAUAACAACUCUCCCUAGAGAAAAUGAAUGCUCAGUUGGGAUUAGAGAAAUCAAUGGGGAAAAAAACCUUCACAGAGACUGUGAAAAGUUAAACAUAUUCUCUAUGUCAUGCA
This 1371-nucleotide long non-coding RNA is filed under the name Macaca fascicularis (crab-eating macaque). Its description in RNAcentral is "lncRNA (ENSMFAG00000059101.1)". Lineage: Eukaryota; Metazoa; Chordata; Mammalia; Primates; Cercopithecidae. The record is from RNAcentral.